RNAcentral lists this ribosomal RNA (654 nucleotides) under uncultured archaeon. Its description in RNAcentral is "bacterial SSU rRNA". It matches the Rfam family "Archaeal small subunit ribosomal RNA", at positions 508 to 1160 of the family's 1478-position model. The record is from RNAcentral.
GCCUAAAGCGUCCGUAGCCGGCUUUGUAAGUUUUCGGUUAAAUCUAUAUGCUCAACAUAUAGGCUGCCGGGAAUACUGCAAAGCUAGGGAGUGGGAGAGGUAGACGGUACUCCGUAGGAAGGGGUAAAAUCCUUUGAUCUAUGGAUGACCACCUGUGGCGAAGGCGGUCUACCAGAACACGUUCGACGGUGAGGGAUGAAAGCUGGGGGAGCAAACCGGAUUAGAUACCCGGGUAGUCCCAGCUGUAAACUAUGCAAACUCAGUGAUGCAUUGGCUUGUGGCCAGUGCAGUGCCGCAGGGAAGCCGUUAAGUUUGCCGCCUGGGAAGUACGUACGCAAGUAUGAAACUUAAAGGAAUUGGCGGGGGAGCACCACAAGGGGUGAAGCCUGCGGUUCAAUUGGAGUCAACGCCAGAAAUCUUACCCGGAGAGACAGCAGGAUGAAGGUCAAGCUGAAGACUUUACCAGACAAGCUGAGAAGUGGUGCAUGGCCGUCGCCAGCUCGUGCCGUGAGGUGUCCUGUUAAGUCAGGUAACGAGCGAGAUCCUUGCCUCUAGUUGCCACCAUUACUCUCAGGAGUAGUGGGGCGAAUUAGCGGGACUGCCGUAGUUAAUACGGAGGAAGGAGAGGGCCACGGCAGGUCAGUAUGCCCCGAA